This 1852-nucleotide long non-coding RNA is filed under the name Lupinus angustifolius (narrow-leaved blue lupine). Its description in RNAcentral is "long non-coding RNA (LANG_LNC001309)". The record is from RNAcentral. Lineage: Eukaryota; Viridiplantae; Streptophyta; Magnoliopsida; Fabales; Fabaceae.
UUGAAUUCUUUUUCAGUGUUGCUUUCUUCUUUGAAAUUUUGUUCCCUUUACGGUUUGGAAGACUUCCAUUCGUUUCAAAUCUCUCCACCUCUUUCAAAGAUCGGAGAGUAAUUUUUUUCACUUUAUGAAUAUAGAUCUACAAAACAACAAUUUCAUUAUGAAAUCACUCGUGUCAAUAAAACAAGUAGAGUUUUCUACAAAUAAAGAAAACAUGUCACAAACAAUGAUAAAUAGGGAGUGCAGGAGGUUGUGGGUUCGAGUUCCACCAUCAACAAAAUAGAGAGUUAUAAGGUGGUUAGAUGGUAGGAUGUUGAGGGUGGAGUCUCACCCACAACAAAAUAUUAACAUAAUAACAACUAACAUACUAACAAUUGCGGAUGAAAAAAAAUUUGAGUUCAUACCUUAUAUAUUUUCCCAUUUUUUCUUGGCAUGGGUCGAAUGAUCCAAUGUUCGAUCCCUUCAGGUAGUUUAAUAGGGACUGGAUUUUCAUUCUAAAUACAUAGCACAAAAAAAACCAUAGAGUGAUGUACAUUUCAAAAGAUAUUGACAAUAAUCAUAAUAUACAACACAAGUUUAAUCUAACAAAUGAAGUCAUUGUUAUCAAGAAUUCUUACAACAAAUAUAAAGCCAACAAGGUGUUGUACUUUUUGGUCACUGGAAAAUGAUUCAUUUAUUGUAUAUAUGCAACUUACAUUCAACAAAACUAAUUAAGAAUUAAAUACAUUUAAGGAGUUCUAUAUAUGGUCUUAUCUAUAAUUGAAUUCACAUAAACGAGACACAUGUUUACACGAAAAGCUCUUAUAGGUUAAGGAAAAAUACUUAUCGACAACUCUUGCAAGAUAUGAAAAUUGAAAAGGAUGAUACAUGCUUUUAGAAGCAACCAUAUAAAAGAUAGAAGCUUAAUAGUAGAAUGUUGCUUUAACAUGUUAUUCAAUCUAUUUGUCUCCUUAAUAACAACAAUGUAAUAUCUAUAUACUAUCGGUAUAGUAUAAAAAUUUAUAUACAGUCAAUACAUUAUUCACCAUUCAUUUCUACUACUUUUUUUGAAGAGUCGAUGAUGAUUAAACAUUAAAAAAAUUAUCUUUUGCUGAUAAAAAAAAUAUAAUGUGUGUUUCUCUAAAUUAGUUUGAUGUGUUUUAAUGUGUGUUUUUGUGAGCUAACCCUCUCUUCAGUAUUAGAAUGAUCUCCCAUAUAGGAUUUAUUUUUCUUGUAUCUUUUUUUAUAGGUUUUUGUAUUAAUGUAACCCAAAUAUAAUAUAGUACUUGCUUUAUAAAAAAUAAAUAUUUUGCUAUGAUAGUUGUAAAUGACUUUGUCUAUAAUUUUGGUAGUUAUUAAUUAUAGAUUAACAAUCAAUAAUAAAUUAGGAGGUAGAGUACAUACUAACUUUAUUAAAAGAUAACAAUUUUCUAUCUUUGGUUAUAAAUUAGGUUAAGAUCUAUGAAAAAUAUAUAUUAUAGGUUAAGAACUAUAGACAAAGUAAGUCAGAACCUCAGCAAAAUUUGUAUGUGGUCUCUUUUAGAAUUACAUGAUCACUAUGUUAAGGUUCUAAUAAGACUUAAGUGGAUCUAGAUCCUUUCAUUUUAUUCACUAGCAAGAUAGAACUUUAUAAUAAGAGUUAGAAAGAUACAAACUGUAUUUAGAGAAAUUAGGUAUCAAUUGUAGAAUGACCCAUAAUAUCAUCCAAAUUUGAUUUUUGUAUGCUAAAUUGAACAGUGCAACAAUACUUUUUGUACUAAGAAAACUCAAAUCUUUACAGAAAAAUCACUAAAAAAUUAUAUGAUAAUUAUUUUGCAAGGAAACGAAAUGCAAAAAAUGAGAUAGAAACCCCUUACCUUUGGACUUGACUUUUUCA